This 22-nucleotide microRNA is filed under the name Blattella germanica (German cockroach). RNAcentral describes it as "Bge-Mir-36_3p (mature (co-guide))". The record is from RNAcentral. Lineage: Eukaryota; Metazoa; Arthropoda; Insecta; Blattodea; Blattellidae.
AUCACCGGAAGGAAUCCACAGU